This 460-nucleotide ribosomal RNA is filed under the name uncultured bacterium. Its description in RNAcentral is "partial 16S ribosomal RNA". It matches the Rfam family "Bacterial small subunit ribosomal RNA", at positions 338 to 795 of the family's 1533-position model. The record is from RNAcentral.
CCUACGGGAGGCAGCAGUGAGGAAUAUUGGUCAAUGGGCGCAAGCCUGAACCAGCCAAGUCGCGUGAGGGAUGACGGCCCUACGGGUUGUAAACUUCUUUUAUCGAGGAGUAAGGUGCGGCACGUGUGCCUGUUUGUAUGUACUUUGUAGAUAAGGAUCGGCUAACUCCGGGCCCGCAGCCGCGGUAAUACGGGGGAUCCGGACGUUAUCCGGAUUUAUUGGGGUUAAAGGGAGCGUAGAUGGGUUGUUAAGUCAGGUGUGAAAGUUUGCGUCUCAACCGUCACAUUGCAAUUGAUACUGGUAGUCUGGAGUACAGGUGAGGUAGGCGGAAUGCGUGGUGUAGCGGUGAAAUGCUUAGAUAUCACGAAGAACUCCGAUUGCGAAGGCAGCAUACCAAAGUGCAACUGACAUUGAUGCUCGAAAGCGUGGGUAUCAAACAGGAUUAGAUACCCGAGUAGUC